This 484-nucleotide ribosomal RNA is filed under the name uncultured bacterium. RNAcentral describes it as "partial 16S ribosomal RNA". It matches the Rfam family "Bacterial small subunit ribosomal RNA", at positions 30 to 507 of the family's 1533-position model. The record is from RNAcentral.
AUUGAACGCUGGCGGCAGGCCUAACACAUGCAAGUCGAGCGGAUGAAGGGAGCUUGCUCCUGGAUUCAGCGGCGGACGGGUGAGUAAUGCCUAGGAAUCUGCCUGGUAGUGGGGGAUAACGUCCGGAAACGGGCGCUAAUACCGCAUACGUCCUGAGGGUGAAAGUGGGGGAUCUUCGGACCUCACGCUAUCAGAUGAGCCUAGGUCGGAUUAGCUAGUUGGUGGGGUAAAGGCCUACCAAGGCGACGAUCCGUAACUGGUCUGAGAGGAUGAUCAGUCACACUGGAACUGAGACAGGGUCCAGACUCCUACGGGAGGCAGCAGUGGGGAAUAUUGGACAAUGGGCGAAAGCCUGAUCCAGCCAUGCCGCGUGUGUGAAGAAGGUCUUCGGAUUGUAAAGCACUUUAAGUUGGGAGGAAGGGCAGUAAGUUAAUACCUUGCUGUUUUGACGUUACCAACAGAAUAAGCACCGGCUAACUUCGUG